AGCUUGCUCUCGGGUGACGAGCGGCGGACGGGUGAGUAAUGUCUGGGAAACUGCCUGAUGGAGGGGGAUAACUACUGGAAACGGUAGCUAAUACCGCAUAACGUCGCAAGACCAAAGUGGGGGACCUUCGGGCCUCAUGCCAUCAGAUGUGCCCAGAUGGGAUUAGCUAGUAGGUGGGGUAACGGCUCACCUAGGCGACGAUCCCUAGCUGGUCUGAGAGGAUGACCAGCCACACUGGAACUGAGACACGGUCCAGACUCCUACGGGAGGCAGCAGUGGGGAAUAUUGCACAAUGGGCGCAAGCCUGAUGCAGCCAUGCCGCGUGUGUGAAGAAGGCCUUCGGGUUGUAAAGCACUUUCAGCGGGGAGGAAGGCGAUAAGGUUAAUAACCUUGUCGAUUGACGUUACCCGCAGAAGAAGCACCGGCUAACUCCGUGCCAGCAGCCGCGGUAAUACGGAGGGUGCAAGCGUUAAUCGGAAUUACUGGGCGUAAAGCGCACGCAGGCGGUCUGUCAAGUCGGAUGUGAAAUCCCCGGGCUCAACCUGGGAACUGCAUUCGAAACUGGCAGGCUAGAGUCUUGUAGAGGGGGGUAGAAUUCCAGGUGUAGCGGUGAAAUGCGUAGAGAUCUGGAGGAAUACCGGUGGCGAAGGCGGCCCCCUGGACAAAGACUGACGCUCAGGUGCGAAAGCGU
Molecule: ribosomal RNA, 691 nt
Filed under: Klebsiella sp. HGA0155
Lineage: Bacteria; Pseudomonadati; Pseudomonadota; Gammaproteobacteria; Enterobacterales; Enterobacteriaceae
Description: bacterial SSU rRNA
Rfam family: Bacterial small subunit ribosomal RNA
Source: RNAcentral